Heterocephalus glaber (naked mole-rat) is the source of this 143-nucleotide small nuclear RNA. Its record names the gene U2. It matches the Rfam family "U2 spliceosomal RNA". Rfam says of the family: U2 is a small nuclear RNA (snRNA) component of the spliceosome (involved in pre-mRNA splicing). Lineage: Eukaryota; Metazoa; Chordata; Mammalia; Rodentia; Bathyergidae. The record is from Ensembl.
AUCUCUUCUUGGCCUUUUGGCUAAGAUCAAGUGUAGUAAAUGUUUUAGUCUUUGGAUAGGCUCAGUGCUUUCUGGUGUGACAUGUCGCCAUUAACUGGAACACAGUUCUUGGUCCUGUCUUCUACCCCCAAACUUAAUGCCUU